This 433-nucleotide ribosomal RNA is filed under the name uncultured bacterium. Its description in RNAcentral is "partial 16S ribosomal RNA". It matches the Rfam family "Bacterial small subunit ribosomal RNA", at positions 29 to 507 of the family's 1533-position model. The record is from RNAcentral.
AACGAACGCUGGCGGCAUGCCUAACACAUGCAAGUCGAACGAGACCUUCGGGUCUAGUGGCGCACGGGUGCGUAACGCGUGGGAACCUGCCCUUAGGUUCGGAAUAACUCCCCGAAAGGGGUGCUAAUACCGGAUAAUGUCUUCGGACCAAAGAUUUAUCGCCUUUGGAUGGGCCCGCGUUGGAUUAGCUGGUUGGUAGGGUAAAAGCCUACCAAGGCGACGAUCCAUAGCUGGUCUGAGAGGAUGAUCAGCCACACUGGGACUGGGACACGGCCCAGACUCCUACGGGAGGCAGGAGUGGGGAAUAUUGGACAAUGGGCGAAGGCCUGAUCCAGCAAUGCCGCGUGAGUGAUGAAGGCCUUAGGGUUGUAAAGCUCUUUUACCCGGGAUGAUAAUGACAGUACCGGGAGAAUAAGCUCCGGCUAACUCCGUG